This 83-nucleotide transfer RNA is filed under the name Myxococcales bacterium FL481. RNAcentral describes it as "tRNA-Leu". It matches the Rfam family "tRNA". From Rfam's summary of the family: Transfer RNA (tRNA) molecules are approximately 80 nucleotides in length. Their secondary structure includes four short double-helical elements and three loops (D, anti-codon, and T loops). Lineage: Bacteria; Pseudomonadati; Myxococcota; Myxococcia; Myxococcales. The record is from RNAcentral.
GCCCGGGUGGUGAAAUCGGUAGACACAGGGGACUUAAAAUCCCCCGCGCAAGCAUGCGGGUUCGAGUCCCGCCCCGGGCACAA